UUGAUGUGGCCUGGUUCUUCCAGGUCCACUGAGAUAGAACCCCCUGUUUUUCGAGUACCAACUGUUUCCUCGGCGGGUCCGCCCGCCAACGGGGACAACCACAAAACCUUUGUAGUUGCAGUAAACGUAUAAAAACAAACAAAAUCA
This 147-nucleotide unclassified non-coding RNA is filed under the name uncultured Dothideomycetes. RNAcentral describes it as "sequence contains ITS1". The record is from RNAcentral. Lineage: Eukaryota; Fungi; Ascomycota; Dothideomycetes.